GGUAGCGUGGCCGAGUGGUCUAAGGCGCUGGUUUUAGGCACCAGUCAUUUAGAUGACGUGGGUUCGAAUCCCACCGCUGCCA
This 82-nucleotide transfer RNA is filed under the name Dendronephthya gigantea. RNAcentral's name for it is "tRNA-Leu". It matches the Rfam family "tRNA". Rfam says of the family: Transfer RNA (tRNA) molecules are approximately 80 nucleotides in length. Their secondary structure includes four short double-helical elements and three loops (D, anti-codon, and T loops). Further hydrogen bonds mediate the characteristic L-shaped molecular structure. tRNAs have two regions of fundamental functional importance: the anti-codon, which is responsible for specific mRNA codon recognition, and the 3' end, to which the tRNAs corresponding amino acid is attached (by aminoacyl-tRNA synthetases). tRNAs cope with the degeneracy of the genetic code in two manners: having more than one tRNA (with a specific anti-codon) for a particular amino acid; and 'wobble' base-pairing, i.e. permitting non-standard base-pairing at the 3rd anti-codon position. Lineage: Eukaryota; Metazoa; Cnidaria; Anthozoa; Malacalcyonacea; Nephtheidae. The record is from RNAcentral.